UACAGAGGUCUCAAGCGUUGUUCGGAUUCAUUGGGCGUAAAGGGUGCGUAGGUGGCGCCGUAAGUCGGGUGUGAAAUUUCGGAGCUUAACUCCGAAACUGCAUUCGAUACUGCGGUGCUUGAGGACUGGAGAGGAGACUGGAAUUCAUGGUGUAGCAGUGAAAUGCGUAGAGAUCCGGAGGAACACCAGUGGCGAAGGCGGGUCUCUGGACAGUUCCUGACACUGAGACACGAAGGCCAGGGGAGCAAACGGG
This 253-nucleotide ribosomal RNA is filed under the name uncultured bacterium. Its description in RNAcentral is "partial 16S ribosomal RNA". It matches the Rfam family "Bacterial small subunit ribosomal RNA", at positions 524 to 776 of the family's 1533-position model. The record is from RNAcentral.